AGUUCACUCCAAAUGGUCCCCCCUCCACGUCAUUUGAUUCCCAACGAUUUUUGUUAGAAGGAACUCGAAUAUUCUCUCCUACAUCGCACGAUUUCUGUACAAAAAGGACGAUUUGUUGGAUGAAUGAGAGUCGUGGAUAGAUAUGAAUCAAUCCACGCCCUCCAUUUGUCCCAAAAAAUUUCAAAAAAAAACUGAAGAUUUUCAAAGUUUUUACCAGAUUUUCGAGAAUUUUCGAAGGCUAUAUAUAAGGUAAGUUCAGUGUGUUAAGGGAGAAAAAAAUCGGAAAAAGAUCUUCAGAAAAAAUUUAGUAGUAAAUUUCUAGGGUUAUGAAGUUUUUCUUCUUCUGAGGCCUUCUCUUUUCUGAUUCGACACCCU
RNAcentral lists this long non-coding RNA (375 nucleotides) under Nicotiana tabacum (common tobacco). RNAcentral describes it as "long non-coding RNA (NTAB_LNC019212)". The record is from RNAcentral. Lineage: Eukaryota; Viridiplantae; Streptophyta; Magnoliopsida; Solanales; Solanaceae.